RNAcentral lists this ribosomal RNA (403 nucleotides) under Verrucomicrobiota bacterium. RNAcentral's name for it is "Verrucomicrobia bacterium partial 16S ribosomal RNA". It matches the Rfam family "Bacterial small subunit ribosomal RNA", at positions 355 to 776 of the family's 1533-position model. The record is from RNAcentral. Lineage: Bacteria; Pseudomonadati; Verrucomicrobiota.
UGGGGAAUUUUGCACAAUGGGGUAAACCCUGAUGCAGCGACGCCGCGUGAGCGAAGAAGGCUUUCGAGUCGUAAAGCUCUGUCCUAUGAGAAGAUAAUGACGGUAUCAUAGGAGGAAGCCCUGGCUAAAUACGUGCCAGCAGCCGCGGUAAUACGUAUGGGGCGAGCGUUGUCCGGAAUUAUUGGGCGUAAAGGGUACGUAGGCGGUUUUUUAAGUCAGGUGUCAAAGCGUGGAGCUUAACUCCAUUAAGCACUUGAAACUGAAAGACUUGAGUGAAGGAGAGGAAAGUGGAAUUCCGAGUGGAGCGGUGAAAAGCGUAGAUAUUAGGAGGAAUACCGGUGGCGAAGGCGACAUUCUGGACUAUGACUGACGCUCAGGUACGAAAGAGUGGGGAGCAAACAGG